RNAcentral lists this ribosomal RNA (534 nucleotides) under uncultured Micromonospora sp. RNAcentral describes it as "bacterial SSU rRNA". It matches the Rfam family "Bacterial small subunit ribosomal RNA", at positions 498 to 1031 of the family's 1533-position model. Lineage: Bacteria; Bacillati; Actinomycetota; Actinomycetes; Micromonosporales; Micromonosporaceae. The record is from RNAcentral.
CAACUACGUGCCAGCAGCCGCGGUAAGACGUAGGGCGCAAGCGUUGUCCGGAUUUAUUGGGCGUAAAGAGCUCGUAGGCGGCUUGUCGCGUCGACUGUGAAAACCCGUGGCUCAACUGCGGGCUCGCAGUCGAUACGGGCAGGCUAGAGUUCGGUAGGGGAGACUGGAAUUCCUGGUGUAGCGGUGAAAUGCGCAGAUAUCAGGAGGAACACCGGUAGCGAAGGCGGGUCUCUGGGCCGAUACUGACGCUGAGGAGCGAAAGCGUGGGGAGCGAACAGGAUUAGAUACCCUGGUAGUCCACGCUGUAAACGUUGGGCGCUAGGUGUGGGGGGCCUCUCCGGUUCUCUGCGCCGCAGCUAACGCGUUAAGCGCCCCGCCUGGGGAGUACGGCCGCAAGGCUAAAACUCAAAGGAAUUGACGGGGGCCCGCACAAGCGGCGGAGCAUGCGGAUUAAUUCGAUGCAACGCGAAGAACCUUACCUGGGUUUGACAUCGCCGGAAAUCCUUCAGAGAUGGGGGGUCCUUCGGGGCCGGU